This 501-nucleotide ribosomal RNA is filed under the name Abrothallus doliiformis. Its description in RNAcentral is "eukaryotic LSU rRNA". The stretch from base 134 to 287 matches the Rfam family "5.8S ribosomal RNA". Lineage: Eukaryota; Fungi; Ascomycota; Dothideomycetes; Abrothallales; Abrothallaceae. The record is from RNAcentral.
GGGGUGGGGGGGAACCCCCCAACUCCCAACCCUUGCCUACCUACCACGUUGCUUCGGCGGGCGCGCGACCGCCGGGGGCCAACCGAACUCCGAUUGCCUCGACCGUCCGAGCGAAUGCGAUGAAACGAGUGAAAACUUUUAACAACGGAUCUCUUGGUUCCGGCAUCGAUGAAGAACGCAGCGAAAUGCGAUAAGUAAUGCGAAUUGCAGAAUUCAGUGAGUCAUCGAAUCUUUGAACGCACAUUGCGCCCCCCGGCAUCCCGGGGGGCAUGCCUGUCCGAGCGUCAUUUCACCAAUCAAGCCCGGCUUGGUACUGGGCUCCGUCCUCCACCGGACGGGCCUGAAAGGCCCCGGCCGCGCGGUCCCGCUUCGGGCGUAGCAGAGCCUUCGCCGCCUCGCCUUGGAAGCCGGUGGCCGCGUCGAGCCGCGAAAGCGAACCCUCUGCAUCGCAAGGUUGACCUCGGAUCAGGUAGGGAUACCCGCUGAACUUAAGCAUAUCAA